UACGAAGGGGGCGAGCGUUGUUCGGAUUUACUGGGCGUAAAGGGCGCGUAGGCGGCCCUCUUUGUCGCGUGUGAAAGCCCCGGGCUCAACCUGGGAAUGGCGCGCGAAACGGGGGGGCUUGAGUUCGGGAGAGGAGCGUGGAAUUCCCAGUGUAGAGGUGAAAUUCGUAGAUAUUGGGAAGAACACCGGUGGCGAAGGCGGUUCUCUGGGCCUGUACUGACGCUGAGGAGCGAAAGCGUGGGGAGCGAACAGG
This 253-nucleotide ribosomal RNA is filed under the name uncultured bacterium. RNAcentral's name for it is "partial 16S ribosomal RNA". It matches the Rfam family "Bacterial small subunit ribosomal RNA", at positions 524 to 776 of the family's 1533-position model. The record is from RNAcentral.